CAUACAGGCCCGGCUUAGAGGGUGUGCCCUUGGUGCUAAUGCACAGGGUCCUUUAUUUUUUCAAUCAUUUUCUUUAAGCAAUCAAGUCCCACGUUUUGUUGAGCCGGCCCUGCAUACAUAUAUAAGUAUCUUUUGCAACCGAGAAAGUGAAGAAGACACGGAAGAAAAAAAGGUGAGAAAGAACAAAUUUGAAGUGCGUAAGAAACAAUAUGGAGCCUGGUUUCUUCCAAGUUAGCGUAGCCGUGGGGUCUGUCUUGGCCAUCUUCAUGUCAGCAGCUCUAUAUGUUAUGUUUUACUUAAACCGAACACAAACACAUAUU
Molecule: long non-coding RNA, 320 nt
Organism: Arabidopsis thaliana (thale cress)
Lineage: Eukaryota; Viridiplantae; Streptophyta; Magnoliopsida; Brassicales; Brassicaceae
Product: other RNA
Exons: 2
Source: RefSeq